RNAcentral lists this ribosomal RNA (649 nucleotides) under uncultured bacterium. Its description in RNAcentral is "bacterial SSU rRNA". It matches the Rfam family "Bacterial small subunit ribosomal RNA", at positions 8 to 649 of the family's 1533-position model. The record is from RNAcentral.
AGAGUUUGAUCCUGGCUCAGGACGAACGCUGGCGGCGUGCCUAACACAUGCAAGUCAAGGGGGCUUGGAGUAGCAAUACUUCAAGCUCACUGGCGCACGGGUGAGUAACACGUAGGUAACCUACCCUUUGGACCGGGGCAACUCCGGGAAACCGGGGCUAAUACCGGAUAUUAUCCCUGAUCAGCAUUGAUUGAGGAUGAAAGGCUCCAAAAGAGCGCCGAAGGACGGGCCUGCGUCCCAUUAGGUUGUUGGUGGGGUAAAAGCCCACCAAGCCUGCGAUGGGUAGCUGGUCUGAGAGGAUGACCAGCCACACUGGAACUGAGACACGGUCCAGACUCCUACGGGAGGCAGCAGUGAGGAAUCUUGCUCAAUGGCCGAAAGGCUGAAGCAGCGACGCCGCGUGGAGGAAGAAGUCCGUAAGGACGUAAACUCCUGUUGGAGGGGAAGAAUCUGGCGCCUCGAGCGCCAUUGACGGUACCCUUCGAGGAAGCACCGGCCAACUACGUGCCAGCAGCCGCGGUAAUACGUAGGGUGCAAGCGUUGUCCGGAAUUACUGGGUGUAAAGGGUCCGCAGGCGGACAAGUUCGUCGGAGGUGAAAUCUGCCCGCUCAACGGGCAAACUGGCUUCGAUACUGCUUGUCUUGAGUUC